RNAcentral lists this long non-coding RNA (354 nucleotides) under Zonotrichia albicollis (white-throated sparrow). RNAcentral's name for it is "lncRNA (ENSZALG00000003594.1)". The record is from RNAcentral. Lineage: Eukaryota; Metazoa; Chordata; Aves; Passeriformes; Passerellidae.
UUCUUCUUCAUGUCAUCUUCCAUCCCAGCUGUCUCUAAAAUGCUUUGCUUGGAGGUUGAAUGUGAAGCAAGCCCGUCACUUCUCCUGGCUCCAGCUUCCUCAUCAACCAAGGACAGGCUGACACUCAGUGUACUCAGCUUGAUGGGGCUUGAGUCCUUCUGUCCUCAUAAGCUGAAGAAAUUGGACAGAAACACCAAGUUUCUGAUUGCUCUGUCUGAUAUUGAGGUCUAAGGGACAGUGGGACAGGGGACUGAAUUAACAGUGAAAUUCAACAGUUUUUGAUAAACCAGCAGACCUGCAGCAAGAAGAAAGCAGUUGUAAAUGCUGGCUAAAUAAAGUAAUCAAAGAACUGGG